UAUUCUGCCCCAUGGGGAAGGAUGAGAAGCUUCGACUAAGGUUCGACUCGAGCGCCAGCGAGAGAACGUUGCCACAGGCAACGGCCCGAAGGGCGAGGCGCUUUAGCGCCGAGUAAUCCUUCCCCACCACCA
RNAcentral lists this small RNA (132 nucleotides) under Klebsiella pneumoniae. RNAcentral's name for it is "RtT sRNA". It matches the Rfam family "RtT RNA". Rfam says of the family: This family represents a bacterial cis-regulatory element known as RtT RNA. The record is from RNAcentral. Lineage: Bacteria; Pseudomonadati; Pseudomonadota; Gammaproteobacteria; Enterobacterales; Enterobacteriaceae.